RNAcentral lists this ribosomal RNA (473 nucleotides) under uncultured bacterium. RNAcentral's name for it is "partial 16S ribosomal RNA". It matches the Rfam family "Bacterial small subunit ribosomal RNA", at positions 28 to 507 of the family's 1533-position model. The record is from RNAcentral.
GAUAAACGCUGGCGGCGUACAUAAGACAUGCAAGUUGAACGGACUUAAUCGAAAUAUUUAUAUUUUGAAGCGGUUAGUGGCGGACUGGUGAGUAACGCGUAAGGAACCUGCCUAUUAGAGGGGAAUAACAGUGAGAAAUCAUUGCUAAUACCGCAUAUGCCAUAGAUAUCACAUGAUAACAGUGGGAAAGGAGCAAUCCGCUAAUAGAUGGCCUUGCGUCUGAUUAGAUAGUUGGUGGGGUAACGGCCUACCAAGUCGACGAUCAGUAGCCGGACUGAGAGGUUGAACGGCCACAUUGGGACUGAGAUACGGCCCAGACUCCUACGGGAGGCAGCAGUCGGGAAUAUUGCGCAAUGGAGGAAACUCUGACGCAGUGACGCCGCGUAUAGGAAGAAGGUUUUCGGAUUGUAAACUAUUGUCGUUAGGGAAGAGAAAGGACAGUACCUAAGGAGGAAGCUCCGGCUAACUACGUG